This 255-nucleotide ribosomal RNA is filed under the name uncultured bacterium. Its description in RNAcentral is "partial 16S ribosomal RNA". It matches the Rfam family "Bacterial small subunit ribosomal RNA", at positions 524 to 776 of the family's 1533-position model. The record is from RNAcentral.
UACGAAGGUGGCAAGCGUUGUCCGGAUUUACUGGGCGUAAAGAGCGCGCAGGCGGUCGUGCAAGUCGCGUGUGAAAGCCCCCGGCUCCAACUGGGGAGGGUCACGCGAUACUGCUCGACUGGAAGGCAGGAGAGGGAAGGCAGAAUUCCCGGUGUAGUGGUGAAUGACGUAGAUAUCGGGAGGAAUACCAGUGGCGAAGGCGGCUUCCUGGCCUGUUCUUGACGCUGAGGCGCGAAAGCUAGGGUAGCAAACGGG